This 350-nucleotide transfer-messenger RNA is filed under the name chicken gut metagenome. It matches the Rfam family "transfer-messenger RNA". Rfam says of the family: Bacterial tmRNA, also known as 10Sa RNA or SsrA, is named for its dual tRNA and mRNA-like properties. Its role is to liberate the mRNA from a stalled ribosome. The record is from RNAcentral.
GGGGGCGAUAAGGCUUCGACAGGGCGGGUGAGAAAAGUAUAAAGCGUGUGGUUGAUGACAUGAAACCUUAAAACUGUCAAAAAAAUAAACGCAAAUAAUAACUACAAAACUGUUCAGGCUGCUGCCUAACAGCGCCCAGGUUGUUUAAGCCACUCGAAAUAACUAGGGUGUCAAACAAGAGUGGAACCUCACUUUAAAAGCGCCUUUUGUUUAAAGUGAACAAAUGUAAAGGCUGGAAAAUUUAAGUUUGUUUGUGGAAGUAAAUUUUCAAGAUUAAACACAAACUGCACACGGAGAAAGGCUUUUCAAUCGUGUUCUGGACGUGGGUUCAAUUCCCACCGUCUCCACCA